Molecule: microRNA precursor, 138 nt
Filed under: Paramuricea clavata
Lineage: Eukaryota; Metazoa; Cnidaria; Anthozoa; Malacalcyonacea; Plexauridae
Source: RNAcentral
CAUACAGCUAUUUCAAUUAAGGUUGUCCACGAGCAAAGCGGAAAAGUCGAAUACGAGCGCGAAAGGCUGCUGGGAAUCGCUAACAAAUUAAUGAAUUUUCGUAUUCGACUUUUCCGCUUUGCUCGUAGACAACCUUAA